Molecule: long non-coding RNA, 403 nt
Filed under: Helianthus annuus (common sunflower)
Lineage: Eukaryota; Viridiplantae; Streptophyta; Magnoliopsida; Asterales; Asteraceae
Description: sRNA HanXRQr2_Chr12g0560461
Source: RNAcentral
UGGGAAUUUCAUACACAUUCUGGAUUUUGAGAUAAAACCGUUAAGGUUUGACCCGUUUCGGCUAAUUUAUGUAAACUUGUUACAUAAACCGAACCGUACGCGUAAUAAGCGUGACGGGUAUUCAUGUCUAUAUACAGGUUUCCUAAGUUAAUUAUGCCUCAAAUAUGUUGUGACAUCAGUAAGAUGUCUUUCAUUAUGCCCGAAACGAAUUAAAUCACAAACUAUGCCCCGUAGGGGUAGUUUGGUCAUUUUAAAGGUUGUAAAAGGGUUUAAGUGUUUAACUGAGUUACAGGUCUGAUGUAAUCAGUAAACAUACUCAAAUUAAUGAGUUAUAACAGUAGGAUAAAGUACACAUGUGAAAUUUAUUAAUUAUAACCAAACUAUGCCCUGUAGGGGUAUUUUG